GACGAACGCUGGCGGCGUGCUUAACACAUGCAAGUGGAGCGACGAACCAGGGCUUGCCCUGGGGCAAAGCCGCGAACGGGUGAGUAACACGUGGGUAACCUGCCCCGACGACUGGGACAACCCGAGGAAACUCGGGCUAAUACCGGAUAAUUUCACCGCUCAUAAGUGUGGUGAUUAAAGGAGGCUUCGGCUUCCGCAUCGGGAGGGGCCCGCGGCCCAUUAGCUUGUUGGUGAGGUAACGGCUCACCAAGGCGACGAUGGGUAGCUGGUCUGAGAGGACGAUCAGCCACACUGGGACUGAGACACGGCCCAGACUCCUACGGGAGGCAGCAGUGGGGAAUCUUGCGCAAUGCGCGAAAGCGUGACGCAGCAACGCCGCGUGGGGGAAGAAGGCCUUCGGGUUGUAAACCCCUUUCAGGAGGGACGAAGGUGCGGCGGCGAAUAGCCGUCCGUACUGACGGUACCUCCACAAGAAGCCCCGGCUAACUACGUGC
RNAcentral lists this ribosomal RNA (494 nucleotides) under uncultured bacterium. RNAcentral describes it as "bacterial SSU rRNA". It matches the Rfam family "Bacterial small subunit ribosomal RNA", at positions 28 to 508 of the family's 1533-position model. The record is from RNAcentral.